GAGUAAAUUCUUAUUUAUUUAUUAAGUUUUGAUUUAAUUAAUAGAAAUAACUUUUAUUUAAGUAAAUUUUAUUGAAAAAAUGAAUUAUUAUUAUAGUUAAAUGUACUGUGAAGGACAGGUAUUAUUUCAUUUAAAAGUAAUCAUGAUUUGAUGUACCUUUUGUAUCAGGGUUAAUUAAUUUACUUUAUUUAUUAUAAGUUUCCCGAAAUUAGGAGGACUAUAAUUAUAUGUUAGUUAAUGUAUCAAAAUUAUUAAUAAUUUAAUUAUAGUAAUGAUAUGUUAUUCGUUCCUAAAUAUCUGGUUUUCUUGGAAUUAAAUUUAAUUUAGGAUCUUUAUUAGUUAAAGAUAACUUUUUUUCUUUUGUUUAUAAGAUCUAAUAUUCUUGGGGAUAAGCUCGGGGGUAAUUAUAUAAGUUUAAUGUAUUAUUAGGAAUUAUGUAGGCUUAAAAUCAGCCAUCAUUUAUUUCGUUAUAGAGGACUUUCUUAAAGUGUUUAUUUAGUUAUUCUUUAUUUUUUUACAAGAAUGAUCAAAUUAACUAUUAAUUUGAUGUAAUAAUGAUUAAAUUAGUAUUUUAGUGAAUUAAAUUAUAGGAACUCGGCAAAUUUAGUGUUCGCCUGUUUAACAAAAACAUGUCCUUUUGUUUUAUUUAUUUAAGGUCUGACCUGCCCAAUGAGGAAUUGAAUGGCCGCAGUAUUCUAACUGUGCUAAGGUAGCAUAAUCAUUUGUCUUUUAAUUGAGGGCUGGAAUGAAGGGUUGGACGAAAUAUUAACUUUCUUUAGUUUAAUUUUAUGAAUUUAAUUUUUGAGUCAAAAAGCUUAAAUUAACUUAUAGGACGAGAAGACCCUAUAGAUCUUUAUAAUUUUAUAUUUUAGUAAUUUAGGGAUUGUUUUACUUGAAGUAGAAGAAUUAUUUUGUUGGGGUGACUGUAGAAUUUAAUAAACUUCUAUUUAUUUAUUUCAUUAAUUAGUGUUUCUUUGAUCCAUAUAUUAUGAUUAUAAGAUUAAGUUACCUUAGGGAUAACAGCGUAAUUUCUUCGGAGAGUUCAUAUUGAUGAAGGAGUUUGCGACCUCGAUGUUGGAUUAAAAUAAGUCAUAGAUGCAGGAGUCUAUUUACUAGGUCUGUUCGACCUUUAAUUUUUUACAUGAUCUGAGUUCAGACCGGCGUAAGCCAGGUCAGUUUCUAUCCUUAAUUUGAAUACACACUUUAGUACGAAAGGACCGGGUGUGUGGAAUAAUUUUUAUGUUUUUGAUUAAUAUU
RNAcentral lists this ribosomal RNA (1257 nucleotides) under Dipetalogaster maximus. RNAcentral's name for it is "16S ribosomal RNA". The stretch from base 831 to 1185 matches the Rfam family "Archaeal large subunit ribosomal RNA", at positions 2155 to 2712 of the family's 2987-position model. The record is from RNAcentral. Lineage: Eukaryota; Metazoa; Arthropoda; Insecta; Hemiptera; Reduviidae.